GCAAGUCGAGCGGAAACGAGAAUAGCUUGCUAUUCGGCGUCGAGCGGCGGACGGGUGAGUAAUGCCUAGAUAUCUGCCUAGUCGUGGGGGAUAACAGUUGGAAACGACUGCUAAUACCGCAUACGCCCUACGGGGGAAAGGAGGGGACCUUCGGGCCUUUCGCGAUUAGAUGAGUCUAGGUGGGAUUAGCUAGUUGGUGAGGUAAUGGCUCACCAAGGCGACGAUCCCUAGCUGGUCUGAGAGGAUGAUC
RNAcentral lists this ribosomal RNA (250 nucleotides) under uncultured bacterium. Its description in RNAcentral is "partial 16S ribosomal RNA". It matches the Rfam family "Bacterial small subunit ribosomal RNA", at positions 57 to 305 of the family's 1533-position model. The record is from RNAcentral.